AUUGAACGCUGGCGGCAGGCCUAACACAUGCAAGUCGAGCGGAUGAAGGGAGCUUGCUCCUGGAUUCAGCGGCGGACGGGUGAGUAAUGCCUAGGAAUCUGCCUGGUAGUGGGGGAUAACGUCCGGAAACGGGCGCUAAUACCGCAUACGUCCUGAGGGAGAAAGUGGGGGAUCUUCGGACCUCACGCUAUCAGAUGAGCCUAGGUCGGAUUAGCUAGUUGGUGGGGUAAAGGCCUACCAAGGCGACGAUCCGUAACUGGUCUGAGAGGAUGAUCAGUCACACUGGAACUGAGACACGGUCCAGACUCCGACGGGAGGCAGCAGUGGGGAAUAUUGGACAAUGGGCGAAAGCCUGAUCCAGCCAUGCCGCGUGUGUGAAGAAGGUCUUCGGAUUGUAAAGCACUUUAAGUUGGGAGGAAGGGCAGUAAGUUAAUACCUUGCUGUUUUGACGUUACCAACAGAAUAAGCACCGGCGAACUUCGU
This 483-nucleotide ribosomal RNA is filed under the name uncultured bacterium. RNAcentral's name for it is "partial 16S ribosomal RNA". It matches the Rfam family "Bacterial small subunit ribosomal RNA", at positions 30 to 506 of the family's 1533-position model. The record is from RNAcentral.